GAGUUUGAUCGUGGCUCAGGACGAACGCUGGCGGUGUGCUUAACACAUGCAAGUGGAGCGACGAACCAGAGCUUGCUCUGGGGCAGAGCCGCGAACGGGUGAGUAACACGUGGGUAACGUACCCCGAUAACCGGGACAACCCGAGGAAACUCGGGCUAAUACCGGAUGUGCUCUCCUCUCAUCAGAGAGGCGAGUAAAGGAAGCUUCGGCCUCCGUAUCGGGAGCGGCCCGCGGCCUAUUAGUUUGUUGGUGGGGUAACGGCCUACCAAGACUGCGAUAGGUAGCUGGUCUGAGAGGAUGAUCGGCCACACUGGGACUGAGACACGGCCCAGACUCCUACGGGAGGCAGCAGUGGGGAAUCUUGCGCAAUGCGCGAAAGCGUGACGCAGCAACACCGCGU
Molecule: ribosomal RNA, 400 nt
Filed under: uncultured bacterium
Lineage: Bacteria
Description: bacterial SSU rRNA
Rfam family: Bacterial small subunit ribosomal RNA
Source: RNAcentral